This 1336-nucleotide ribosomal RNA is filed under the name uncultured bacterium. Its description in RNAcentral is "bacterial SSU rRNA". It matches the Rfam family "Bacterial small subunit ribosomal RNA", at positions 28 to 1381 of the family's 1533-position model. The record is from RNAcentral.
GACGAACGCUGGCGGCGUGCUUAACACAUGCAAGUCGAGCGGAAAGGCCACUUCGGUGGUACUCGAGCGGCGAACGGGUGAGUAACACGUGAGUAAUCUGCCCCUGGCUUUGGGAUAGCCACCGGAAACGGUGAUUAAUACCGAAUAUGACCACUUCUCGCAUGGGAUGGUGGUGGAAAGUUUUUCGGCCAGGGAUGUGCUCGCGGCCUAUCAGCUUGAUGGUGAGGUAAUGGCUCACCAUGGCUUCGACGGGUAACCGGCCUGAGAGGGUGACCGGUCACACUGGGACUGAGACACGGCCCAGACUCCUACGGGAGGCAGCAGUGGGGAAUAUUGGACAAUGGGCGGAAGCCUGAUCCAGCAACGCCGCGUGAGGGAUGACUGCCUUCGGGUUGUAAACCUCUUUCGGUGGGGACGAAGCGCAAGUGACGGUACCCACUAAAGAAGCACCGGCCAACUACGUGCCAGCAGCCGCGGUAAUACGUAGGGUGCGAGCGUUGUCCGGAAUUAUUGGGCGUAAAGGGCUCGUAGGCGGUUUGUCGCGUCGGGAGUGAAAACCAGGUGCUUAACACCUGGCUUGCUUUCGAUACGGGCAGACUAGAGGUAUUCAGGGGAGAACGGAAUUCCUGGUGUAGCGGUGAAAUGCGCAGAUAUCAGGAGGAACACCCGUGGCGAAGGCGGUUCUCUGGGAAUUACCUGACGCUGAGGAGCGAAAGUGUGGGGAGCGAACAGGAUUAGAUACCCUGGUAGUCCACACCGUAAACGUUGGGCGCUAGGUGUGGGGUCCAUUCCACGGAUUCCGUGCCGCAGCUAACGCAUUAAGCGCCCCGCCUGGGGAGUACGGCCGCAAGGCUAAAACUCAAAGGAAUUGACGGGGGCCCGCACAAGCGGCGGAGCAUGCGGAUUAAUUCGAUGCAACGCGAAGAACCUUACCUGGGUUUGACAUACACCCUGCCGCUCCAGAGAUGGGGCUUCUUUUGGGGGUGUACAAGUGGUGCAUGGCUGUCGUCAGCUCGUGUCGUGAGAUGUUGGGUUAAGUCCCGCAACGAGCGCAACCCUCGUUCUAUGUUGCCAGCACGUAAUGGUGGGGACUCAUAGGAGACUGCCGGGGUCAACUCGGAGGAAGGUGGGGAUGACGUCAAGUCAUCAUGCCCCUUAUGUCCAGGGCUUCACGCAUGCUACAAUGGCCGGUACAAAGGGCUGCGAUCCCGUGAGGGGGAGCGAAUCCCAAAAAGCCGGUCUCAGUUCGGAUUGGGGUCUGCAACUCGACCCCAUGAAGUCGGAGUCGCUAGUAAUCGCAGAUCAGCAACGCUGCGGUGAAUACGUUCCCGGGCCU